AAUCCAGACUCCUACGGGAGGCAGCAGUAGGGAAUUUUGCGCAAUGGGGGAAACCCUGACGCAGCAACGCCGCGUGAUCGAUGAAGCCCUUCGGGGUGUAAAGAUCUGUCAGUGGGGACGAAACCUGACGGUACCCACAGAGGAAGCACCGGCUAACUCCGUGCCAGCAGCCGCGGUAAUACGGGGGGUGCAAGCGUUGUCCGGAUUUACUGGGUGUAAAGGGCGUGCAGCCGGGCUGACAAGUCAGAUGUGAAAUCCCGCGGCUCAACCGCGGAACUGCAUUUGAAACUGUCAGUCUUGAGUACCGGAGAGGUCACCGGAAUUCCUUGUGUAGCGGUGAAAUGCGUAGAUAUAAGGAAGAACACCAGUGGCGAAGGCGGAUGACUGGACGGCAACUGACGGUGAGGCGCGAAAGCGUGGGGAGCAAACAGGAUUAGAUACCCUGGUAA
Molecule: ribosomal RNA, 449 nt
Filed under: uncultured bacterium
Lineage: Bacteria
Description: partial 16S ribosomal RNA
Rfam family: Bacterial small subunit ribosomal RNA
Source: RNAcentral